GCUUUGCUACACUAAAAGUUAGAACUAUAUUGGGAAUGAUGCAGAGAAGAUUAGCACGGACCCUGAGCCAGGAUGACGCGCAAAUUUGUGGGGUUCCAUAUUCUA
Vulpes vulpes (red fox) is the source of this 105-nucleotide small nuclear RNA. The record is from Ensembl. NCBI's taxonomy places the organism in Eukaryota, Metazoa, Chordata, Mammalia, Carnivora, Canidae.